This 266-nucleotide ribosomal RNA is filed under the name uncultured Pellidiscus. RNAcentral's name for it is "partial large subunit ribosomal RNA". Lineage: Eukaryota; Fungi; Basidiomycota; Agaricomycetes; Agaricales; Inocybaceae. The record is from RNAcentral.
ACGCUUGAAGUCAGUCGCGUUGGCUGGAAAUCAACCUUACUUUUGUUGGGUGUACUUUCUGGUUGACGGGUCAGUAUCAGUUUUGACCGGUGGAUAAAGGUGCAGGGAAUGUGGCUCCCUCGGGAGUGUUAUAGCCUUGUAUCAUAUACAUCGGUUGGGACUGAGGUACUCAGCACGCCGCAAGGCCGGGUUUCGACCACGUUCGUGCUUAGGAUACUGGCAUAAUGGCUUUAAUCGACCCGUCUUGAAACACGGACCAAGGAGUC